RNAcentral lists this unclassified non-coding RNA (474 nucleotides) under Hevea brasiliensis (rubber tree). The record is from RNAcentral. Lineage: Eukaryota; Viridiplantae; Streptophyta; Magnoliopsida; Malpighiales; Euphorbiaceae.
CGCGAUUUCAUCUCAAGCCCAAUGACACAUCACAGGCAUCCUCCUCCGCCUGGUCCUCCUCCUCCACCAGGGCCUCCAAUGCCACCUCCACCUUUUGCACACCCUCCACCUCCACCCGAUCCUUUUGCUCCCCCACCACCAGGUUUGUAUCAUCCACCUCCACAACCACCUUACCCUUCUGCACCACCGCCGCCUGGUCCUCCACCUCCAGACCCUUUUGCACCACCACCACCGUUCGAUCCACCACCUCCUCCAUUUGCUCACCCACCACCACCAGGUCCUCCUCCACCUUAUCAUUCGCCUCCGCCUCCUUAUUAGUACACAAUAAAAUAUAUGUAUGCGUUCUUUAGCUUCUUUUUCGAGUUGUAACUUGUUACGAUGGUAUAUUAAUUUAGACAAACGUAUUGUAUGUACUUAUUUGAAAACAAUAAUAGACUUCUUGAUUAUUAUGUACAUUUGCAUGCUUCAAAUUUC